GUUAAUGUAGCUUAAAAUUUAAAGCAAAGCACUGAAAAUGCUUAAAUGAGAUAUAAACUCCAUAAACA
This 68-nucleotide transfer RNA is filed under the name Smutsia temminckii (ground pangolin). RNAcentral's name for it is "Manis temminckii (ground pangolin) tRNA-Phe". It matches the Rfam family "tRNA". Rfam says of the family: Transfer RNA (tRNA) molecules are approximately 80 nucleotides in length. Their secondary structure includes four short double-helical elements and three loops (D, anti-codon, and T loops). The record is from RNAcentral. Lineage: Eukaryota; Metazoa; Chordata; Mammalia; Pholidota; Manidae.